GAUCAUGGCUCAGGACGAACGCUGGCGGCGCGCCUAACACAUGCAAGUCGAACGGAGCAUUGAGAGCUUGCUUUUAAUGCUUAGUGGCGAACGGGUGAGUAACGCGUGAGUAACCUGCCCUGGAGUGGGGGACGACAGUUGGAAACGACUGCUAACACCGCAUAAGCCCACGGCCCGGCAUCGGGCUGCGGGAAAAGGAUUUAUUCGCUUCAGGAUGGACUCGCGUCCAAUUAGCUAGUUGGUGAGG
RNAcentral lists this ribosomal RNA (247 nucleotides) under uncultured bacterium. Its description in RNAcentral is "partial 16S ribosomal RNA". It matches the Rfam family "Bacterial small subunit ribosomal RNA", at positions 15 to 257 of the family's 1533-position model. The record is from RNAcentral.